GGCCUGUUAACUCAGCUGGUUAGAGCAUGGUGCUAAUGACGCCAAGGUUGUGGGUUUGAUCCACUCAUGGGCCA
RNAcentral lists this transfer RNA (74 nucleotides) under Danionella translucida. It matches the Rfam family "tRNA". Rfam says of the family: Transfer RNA (tRNA) molecules are approximately 80 nucleotides in length. The record is from Rfam by way of RNAcentral. Lineage: Eukaryota; Metazoa; Chordata; Actinopteri; Cypriniformes; Danionidae. RNAcentral also lists the same sequence under 1 other name.